AUUCGCCCGCCGCGCGCGGCGGGCGGGGCGGGGGCACGGGGGGCCUACGGGAGGCAGCAGUAGGGAAUCUUGCGCAAUGGGCGAAAGCCUGACGCAGCGACGCCGCGUGCGGGAAGAAGGCCUUCGGGUUGUAAACCGCUUUCAGGAGGGACGAAGCCACUCGGGUUAAUAGCCCAGAGGGUGACGGUACCUCCAGAAGAAGCCCCGGCUAACUACGUGCCAGCAGCCGC
This 230-nucleotide ribosomal RNA is filed under the name uncultured soil bacterium. Its description in RNAcentral is "partial 16S ribosomal RNA". It matches the Rfam family "Bacterial small subunit ribosomal RNA", at positions 282 to 518 of the family's 1533-position model. The record is from RNAcentral.